UACGUAGGUGGCAAGCGUUGUCCGGAAUUAUUGGGCGUAAAGCGCGCGCAGGCGGUCCUUUAAGUCUGAUGUGAAAGCCCACGGCCCAACCGUGGAGGGUCAUUGGAAACUGGGGGACUUGAGUGCAGGAGAGAAAAGUGGAAUUCCACGUGUAGCGGUGAAAUGCGUAGAGAUGUGGAGGAACACCGGUGGCGAAGGCGGCGUCCUGGACCAACACUGACACUGAGGAGCGAAAGCGUGGGGAGCAAACAGG
This 253-nucleotide ribosomal RNA is filed under the name uncultured bacterium. Its description in RNAcentral is "partial 16S ribosomal RNA". It matches the Rfam family "Bacterial small subunit ribosomal RNA", at positions 524 to 776 of the family's 1533-position model. The record is from RNAcentral.